Molecule: ribosomal RNA, 3902 nt
Filed under: Candidatus Woesebacteria bacterium GW2011_GWB1_39_12
Lineage: Bacteria; Candidatus Woeseibacteriota
Description: 23S ribosomal RNA
Rfam family: Bacterial large subunit ribosomal RNA (bases 1-3329)
Source: RNAcentral
ACAGUGAAUGCCUUGGUGUAAGUUGCCGAAGAAGGACGCACAUGGUAGCGAUAUUCGUCGGGGAGGAGCCACGAUCCUGUGAUCCGGCGGUGUCCGAAUGGAGAAAUCCGACCGAGUUCAUACUCGAUCACUCCGUGAUAAAAAUAAUUUACGCAAGUAAGUUGUAUAGUCGCGGUAGAGGGAACCGUCCAAACUGAAACAUCUAAGUAGGGCGAGGAAGAGAAAUCAAUAGAUAUUCCGUCAGUAGCGGAGAGCGAAAGCGGAAAAGCCCAAACCCGCCCGUGCGUAGCACUGGAAGUUCCAAUUUCCAAUCACCAAUUUCCAAAUAAUUUCAAAUUUCAAAUGACAAAUUUUCAAAACAUUUCUAAUCUUAAAGGAGUUUUGAGUUUUUGAUUUUGAAUUUCGAGUUUGUUUGGGAUUUGGAAUUUGGGUUUUGGAAUUUCUCAUGCUGCGCAUGAGUGGGGGUUGUAGGAGCCCGAUGUGGGAGUCGACUUGGUAGCAGAAUUAUCUGGAAUGGUAGAUCAUAGAGAGUGAAAAUCUCGUAUGCAAAAUUAAGUCGACCUCUAGGGAUUUCCUGAGUACCACGAUUUAAAUCUUCGUGGGAAGCUGGGGGAGUCAUCCUCCAAGGCUAAAUACAACUUGCAACCGAUAGUGAACUAGUACCGUGAGGGAAAGGCGAAAAGAAGGGCGAGACGCCCAGUGAAAUAGAACCUGAAACUGUUUGCGGACAAACCGAGAGAGCCUUCGAACAGGAAAUUUCAAAAGACAAAUAACAAAUUACAAACAAGUUCCAAAUAACAGAACCCAAUAUAUAGUUUUAAAAAGUUUUGCAAUUUGUGAAUUAAUUAUUGUUUGUAUAUUGGAAAUUGGUAAUUGGAGUUUCCCGCUCGGAGAGCGGGUGAUCUCGUGCCUAUUGAAGAAUGAGCCGGCGAGUUACCGCGUAGCGCAUAGUCUAACCGAGUCUGACUCGGGGAGGCGUAGGGAAACCAAGUCUGAAUAGGGCGAUUAGCGCGAAGUGGUAGACCCGAAACCGGGUGAUCUAUCCAUGAGCAGGGUGAACCCCGACGAAAGUCGGGGGGAGGCCCGAACCGGUGUAAGUUGCAAUUUGCUCGGAUGACUUGUGGAUAGGGGUAAAAUGCCAAACGAACCCGGAGAUAGCUGGUUCUCCCCGAAAGGUCUAUAGGGACCGUGGUACGUAAGGUGUUGCCGAUGGUAGAGCUACUGAAUGGGUAAGCGAGGGUAACCGAGUUUACUCAAUCAAACUCCGAAUAGCGGUAAACAUUAACGUACUAAACAGUCGCAUCGGGCUAAGCUGAUGCGGCGAAAGGGAAACAUCCCAGACUCUCAGCUAAGGCCUCUAAAUUACAGCUAAGUUUCAAAGGAAGUUCACGUCCGUAGACAGCCAGGAGGUUGGCUUAGAAGCAGCCACCCUUUAAAGAAAGCGUAACAGCUCACUGGUCGAGGUUGUGGGCGCCGAAGAUUUAUCGAGGAUAAGCUGUAUGCCGAAGCUGGAGAUGCCUGUUCGUAGAACAGGAAAUUUCAAAUAAUAAAUGCCAAGUAACAAACCCUUCGAUUUUACUCAGGGUCCUGAGCAGGUCGAAGGACAAAUUCCAAAUAAUAAAAUCCCAAUGAAUAAAAAAGUUUUUAGAUUUUAAGAUUUGUGAUUUAAAUUUUGUUUGUAAAUUGGAUAUUGAAAAUUGGAGUUUCCCGCUCUGCGAGCGGGUGUGGUAGGGGAGCGUUCCGUAUCCAGUGAAGUUAAGCCGUAAGGCUUGGUGGAGGAUACGGGAGUGAGAAUGCCGGCAUGAGUAGCGUACUAUCCCGGAGAGAAUCCGGGACACCGAAUGCCCGAGGAUUCCGUCGCGAGGUUCGUCCCCGACGGGUUAAUCGGUACCUAACCUAAGGCCAAAUGGCGUAGGGGAUGGAUAACUGGUCAAAAUUCCAGUAUUUAUUUUGAAUCGAAAGCCCUUGUGCUUUGCACAAGGAAAUUACAAUAAACAAACACCAAUUUCCAAACAAAUUCCAAAUUGCAAUUAAGAAAAAUAAAAUAAUUGUGAUUUGUUAAUUAAUAUUUGUUUGUAAUUUGUAAAUUGUGUUUUGUGAUUUUCUCGCGCAGAGCACGAGGUAAUUGGGGGUUGACUGGAUAGGAUGGUUGAAGCCUCAUAACGAUUUGGGGUGUAAGUUAUAAGAUAGUGUCAGCAGGAAAAUCCGCUAAUACGUUUAAUCAAGUAGCGAUGCAGAGUCUUGCGCAAGCAAGACAAUUUCAUCCCAUUCAAUCUACAAGAAAAGACUCGCAGUGAGAUUCAAGGUAAGCCGUACCGCAAACCGACACAGGUGGGCUGGUCGAGAAGACUAAGGUGAUCGAGAGAAAGAGGUUCAAGGAACUCGGCAAAAAAUCUGGACGUAAGUUCGCAAGAUGUCCUCCCUGAAAAAUCUUCGGAUUUUUUAGGGUACAACAAAAGAGUGCUAACCGACUGUUUAUCAAAAACACAGGUCCGUGCAAAAGCGAAAGCUAAGGUAUACGGGCUGACGCCUGCCCAGUGCCGGUAAGUGAAGGGGAUGGGUUUUACGGAUUUAUCCGUAAGGCCUUGAACUCAAGCUCCGGUAAACGGCGGCUUUAACUAUAAGAGUCCUACGGUAGCGAAGUUCCUUGUCGUGUAAGUUACGACCCGCACGAAAGGCGUUACGAGUUAGCAACUGUCUCGAGCCUCUACUCGGCGAAAUUGCGUUGGCUGUGAAGACGCGGCCUACUUCCACCAGGACAAAAAGACCCCGUGGAGCUUUGUUUUGUGCGAGCCAAUUGUUUAGAGUAGGAGGGACCCUGAGAGCAAUCGAAGGGGACACUGAAACACCUCCCUUUGGAACGUGGCAAGACUUACCUAACGUCCUUGCAAACAGGUCGAGGAAAAGUGCUAGGUGGGCAGUUUUACUGGGGCGGUACCCUGCCAAAAGGUAACGCAGGGGUACAAAGGUUGGCUUAGCACGGAUGGACAUCGUGCUGAAUGUAUAAAGGCAUAAGCCAGCUUGAUAGCGACUGCGACGGCAGAAGCUAGUACGAAAGUAGGUCUUAGUGAUCCUCCGAUUGCCUAGUGAUAGGCACGGAGCUUAACGGAUAAAAGCUACCCCGGGGAUAACAGAGUAGUCGCACCCGAGAGUCCAUAUCGACGGUGCGGUUCGCUACCUCGAUGUCGGCUCACCGCAUCCUGGGGCUGGAGAAGGUCCCAAGGGUUGGUCUGUUCGCCCAUUAAAGCGGUACGCGAGCUGGGUUCAGAACGUCGUGAGACAGUUGAGUCCGAUAACAUAUCGGACUGACACCAAGCGGUCUCAUCCCUUGACUGACUGAAAUACACAUCGAAGGAUUAGUAACUAAUUUGUUAUCAACAAUCGUUUAUAAGGAUAUAUUAAACGGUUUAAUUUAAAUAUUUAAAUUUGAUCUUUUUGUCUAAAUAGGAAAGAGGGAAUAUAAAUCUGACUAUAUGCUGGAAACUCCGGUGUAUCCUGUGCUACUCUUGAAAAAGAGUGAAAAAGCAACAGGUGCGGACAAUCAGCAGGAAAGGCCUCAUUAGAUAUGGAAUUAUCUAAUGGGGAAUCCUCAACGACUAUACGUCAGAAUACGUUCAGUUUACAUGAACGUAUAAGAUAUAGUCUGAUCUCCAUGGCGACUUGGAGGGUUGAAAAUCGUUCAGCCGUAAAAACAAGCGGAGUAUUGAUAUACUAAAUGUCGGACUCUAUCCGGUGGAAGCGUUCGAGUCUUGAAGGGAGCUGGCCUCAGUACGAGAGGACCAGGCCGGGGGAAUCCCUGGUGUGCCGGUUGUGGCAUCAGCCGCAACGCCGGGUAGCUACAUUCCCAAGGGAUAACCGCUGAAAGCAUAUAAGUGGGAAGCCCCCCCUAAGAUUAGGACUCG